RNAcentral lists this ribosomal RNA (253 nucleotides) under uncultured bacterium. RNAcentral describes it as "partial 16S ribosomal RNA". It matches the Rfam family "Bacterial small subunit ribosomal RNA", at positions 524 to 776 of the family's 1533-position model. The record is from RNAcentral.
UACGUAGGGUGCAAGCGUUGUCCGGAAUUAUUGGGCGUAAAGAGCUCGUAGGUGGCCUGUCGCGUCGGCUGUGAAAACUCGGGGCUCAACUCCGAGCUUGCAGUCGAUACGGGCAGGCUAGAGUUCGGCAGGGGAGACUGGAAUUCCUGGUGAAGCGGUGAAAUGCGCAGAUAUCAGGAGGAACACCGGUGGCGAAGGCGGGUCUCUGGGCCGAUACUGACACUGAGGAGCGAAAGCGUGGGGAGCGAACAGG